AAUAAACGCCUCUAAUUUUUCCCUAAAUUGAAACCCAGAUUUCCUUUUUUUCUCUGCGCUCGAUUUCCUUUCCUUUUCCGAAUUUCUUUCUUCUCUGCAAACUGUUUCCCAGGUAGAAAUUAGGUCAUUUGUUUCAUUCUUGCUUUCGAUUCCUUUCCUUUUCAUGUCGUUUCCAAUCGGUUGUCUUUGUUUUCCAUCUGAUUCAUUUUCCUUGUCCAAUUUGUUUCGAAUCCCAAUCUAAAUUGAGCCCUCGAGAGCUUUGCCGUUCAUUUGUUGUCGCUGUUCGCAAGCCCCCGCCGUUCCCAUUACCGGCUUUCAUCUCCCUCCUCCUUCCAUCUACAACAAUGGUUUAAGGUAUGAACCGGUUCUAAUGUCUGUUGACAUCCAAUGUCAAGGUGGCUGCAUCAUUUAUAUUUUACCUUCACAUGUUGCCAAACAUGUGGUAUUCGAUAGUCAUUUGAAGCAUUGUCGAGAAACACAUUGCCUUUAUUGCUUGAAUGAACUACUGGCAGAUACGAUCCCCUGUAUUUCGUGUUCGUUGCCAUUGUACUGUUCCCAGCAUUGCCAAGUGCGAGCAGGUGGACAAAUAAUGUCAAUUAUUCAAGUAAAAUUGACAUCAGUGAAAAGAAGUCCAACUGUACUGAAGAGUAUAUUCCAGAUAUAACUGUAGGGAGUAAUUCCAAUCCAAAACUUUAGUGCAUUCCAGAACAUAAACAUGAAUGUCAAGGUGUGCACUGGCCUGCAAUAUUGCCUUCUGAUGUAGUUCUGGUUGGUCGAGUAGUAGUGAAAUUUUUAGAGUAGAAAGGAAAAUUUACUGAGGUUCCUAAUCUUUUAGAAACUUUGGUAUAUCCUUCAAUUGUGUGUUAUUAUAUUAAAUUUUGUAGUUACAUGUAUAUCGAAACAAAUUAUAUUUAGAUAUUUAAAUAUUUAUAA
Durio zibethinus is the source of this 933-nucleotide non-coding RNA. Lineage: Eukaryota; Viridiplantae; Streptophyta; Magnoliopsida; Malvales; Malvaceae. The record is from RefSeq and is a predicted model, not a curated record.